This 96-nucleotide non-coding RNA is filed under the name uncultured Phascolarctobacterium sp. RNAcentral's name for it is "SAM riboswitch (S box leader)". It matches the Rfam family "SAM riboswitch aptamer (S box leader)". From Rfam's summary of the family: The SAM riboswitch is found upstream of a number of genes which code for proteins involved in methionine or cysteine biosynthesis in Gram-positive bacteria. The SAM riboswitch acts at the level of transcription termination control. Lineage: Bacteria; Bacillati; Bacillota; Negativicutes; Acidaminococcales; Acidaminococcaceae. The record is from RNAcentral.
UUCAUCAAGAGUAGCCGAGGGACUGGCCCAAUGAAGCUACGGCAACCACACUUUAUGUGAACGGUGCCAAAUCCAACGGAGUAAUCCGGCAGAUGA